This 497-nucleotide ribosomal RNA is filed under the name uncultured bacterium. RNAcentral's name for it is "partial 16S ribosomal RNA". It matches the Rfam family "Bacterial small subunit ribosomal RNA", at positions 28 to 507 of the family's 1533-position model. The record is from RNAcentral.
GAUGAACGCUGGCGGCGUGCCUAAUACAUGCAAGUCGAGCGAACGGACGAGAAGCUUGCUUCUCUGAUGUUAGCGGCGGACGGGUGAGUAACACGUGGAUAACCUACCUAUAAGACUGGGAUAACUUCGGGAAACCGGAGCUAAUACCGGAUAAUAUUAUGAACCGCAUGGUUCAAAAGUGAAAGACGGUUUUGCUGUCACUUAUAGAUGGAUCCGCGCUGCAUUAGCUAGUUGGUAAGGUAACGGCUUACCAAGGCAACGAUGCAUAGCCGACCUGAGAGGGUGAUCGGCCACACUGGAACUGAGACACGGUCCAGACUCCUACGGGAGGCAGCAGUAGGGAAUCUUCCGCAAUGGGCGAAAGCCUGACGGAGCAACGCCGCGUGAGUGAUGAAGGUCUUCGGAUCGUAAAACUCUGUUAUUAGGGAAGAACAUAUGUGUAAGUAACUGUGCACAUCUUGACGGUACCUAAUCAGAAAGCCACGGCUAACUACGUG